GGCUUUGCAGCAGAUGGACAAGUCUAUUAUUUAGUGAAUAUGUUUGAUUAGCAGCUAAGUAAUUUCUGUCAUUUUCUUAAUACUCAGGAUGUCUGCUUUCAGUACGAUAUAUACACCCUUAAAUCAUCUUUUUAUAUAUAUAUGCCAGACUUCCUAAUUUUUGUGGUAGCCUAUUUGUUUGCAUUGUGAUCUAGUUUAUGACGGACACCCAGGAGUCCCAGCCAGGGUUGAUGACAAGAUGGGUGCUCUGAUUUACUGGAGUGUUCUGACUAUUUGCAUCCGUGUAGGCUUUCCAUGGGCAGCAGAUCCAAAACUCCAUAUGGUCCACGAAGUUUGGCUGCAUACUCCUGAGCCAAAGAAGCUGGAACUUUGAUCCGUGAUUUUAAACUAAGUGGAAACACUUUGCUGAUUGGAAGACACCAUGUUGCCUACUGGAUUUCUUAGCAUGAAACUGCAACCAAAGGUCCACAAAUAUCUCCAAGAACCUGCACUGACCCCUUAUCUCUGUGCUUUGUCCAGCCUGGAUUUUUAUUCACUCAUGGUGACAGUAACAGUAUGA
RNAcentral lists this long non-coding RNA (559 nucleotides) under Cyanistes caeruleus (blue tit). RNAcentral describes it as "lncRNA (ENSCCEG00000016179.1)". The record is from RNAcentral. Lineage: Eukaryota; Metazoa; Chordata; Aves; Passeriformes; Paridae.